Molecule: ribosomal RNA, 458 nt
Filed under: uncultured bacterium
Lineage: Bacteria
Description: partial 16S ribosomal RNA
Rfam family: Bacterial small subunit ribosomal RNA
Source: RNAcentral
GACGAACGCUGGCGGCGUGCUUCAUACAUGCAAGUCGAACGAGAAGCUGACUUCGGUCAGUGGAAAGUGGCGGACGGGUGAGUAAUAUGUAGGAAAUCUGCCUUUAGGAGGGGGACAACAGAGGGAAACUUCUGCUAAUACCCCAUAUGAGCGUAGCUGAAAUGCUAUUCUUGAAAACUCCGGUGCCUAAAGAUGAGCCUGCAUCUGAUUAGCUAGUUGGUAGUGUAAUGGACUACCAAGGCGACGAUCAGUAGCUGGUUUGAGAGGAUGAUCAGCCACAAUGGGACUGAGACACGGCCCAUACUCCUACGGGAGGCAGCAGUAGGGAAUUUUGCGCAAUGGGCGAAAGCCGGACGCAGCAACGCCGCGUGAACGAUUAAGCCCUUCGGGGUGGAAAGUUCUGUCAGUGGGGACGAAACUUGACGGUACCCACAGAGGAAGCACCGGCUAACUCCGUG